GGUGAAGGUCGGCUUUUUGAGUUGUAGUUGUAUUUAAACUGUAUGCAUUGCUCAGAAAUGAAGUCAUGAUGAAAUGUGUAAAUCCAAAACUUGUAUCCUCAUGAAAUGUGUUAUACAAGCUGACAGAUUUACUCUUGGAGGCCGACCCAAGGCUUGGCAGUAUCACUGGGGGCUGGAUGUUGCAUAAAUCCACAGGUGGUGGUGGGCAGCGGAAAUGAGUAGUCAUCCCUCCUGACCCAGAAGGGAACAGUGGACAGCAAAUCAAAGCAGCUACUGGAAAUGGAAAAUGCAGAUUGACACUACGCCUCUACCUCCGAGUGCAAAAGAAUUUCAGCAUGUGCCCAAAUGUCCAUGUGCCAACUGCGGAGUAAAGAUUCCUUUACAGGCUCUCCCAAGUCAUAUUCAAAACUGCAAGGACAAUAUAGAUUUGUGCAGUUCUUCAGAGGAAUGGUGCACCCGCGAACAUGAAAAUCUGGAAAAUCAGACAGAAAUGAAUGUCCUGUAUGCAGACAAGCCUUCAGCACUGACGUCACUGAGGCUCAUGCAUCAGAUUGUGGAUUAAGAGAAGCAGCUGACAAAGUUCAAAGCAACACCUCAGAAGAUCCAGUGAAAUCCCUUCAAAGCACUGAAGAUAUAUUGCGGUUCCUUGAGGAACAAGUUGAUACCACAACACAAUUUAAAUUGUGUGUGGACAGAGAGCAACUACUGGACAGAACCAUUCUCCAGUGGAGAAGGAAUAAAAAUGGCAUCUCCUACAAGCGGCCUUAAGGUUGUGUACAUGGGAGAGGCGGGCAUUGACACAGAGGCUCUCCCAAAGGAAUUUCUGACUGUGUGUAUGUGUGCGUGAUUUCUUUUAUAGACAUGAUGUCAGCCAUUGAAAAACGGUUCUUUGAAGGCCCUGGGAACCAGGGUAAAAACCCCAAGUACUCACUGACUGACCUUGAUCAUGAACAUUUCAGAACUAUAGGUGAAGUAAUGGCAGUGAGCCUAGCCCAAGGUGGCCCACCCCCUGCUUUUCUAAAGACUGGUGUUACAGUUUCCUUUGCUAUGGUGAGGUGGAUUUGAGCACACUUUCUCAAGAGGAUGUAGCGGAUCUAGAAUCCUGCCAGCUUAUCCACAAUGUUGAAAAGGCAACUGAUCCUGAAUCACUGAUGGUGUGGGUCGAUCACAUUGUAAGCUGUGGUUACUCAGGCCAGAUCAAACUGGACAACAAAAAAAGCAUAAUUCGAGCGAUAGUACUGCAUUCCACUACGAGAUUAAUCCCAAUACUGCAGCAGGUGUGAAAGGGUCUGGAGCUGUAUGGUCUCAUGGACCAGACGGCUGCCCACCCACAAGCUUCUUAUCCGCUCUUUGUACCUGGGAAAAUU
Boleophthalmus pectinirostris (great blue-spotted mudskipper) is the source of this 1367-nucleotide long non-coding RNA. RefSeq lists it as uncharacterized. The record is from RefSeq and is a predicted model, not a curated record. NCBI's taxonomy places the organism in Eukaryota, Metazoa, Chordata, Actinopteri, Gobiiformes, Gobiidae. The transcript has 10 exons.